AAGAGAGAGAAAGAAAACAAGAGAUAAUAGAGCAAUGGAAAAAUAGAGACACAACAUGAUAAAAAUAAUGUUUGAAUUUGCAAAGCAGGAGGAUUCUGGUGGCAUAGGACGGGUAAAUGAUGAGCAAUCCGUACAGGUUACGUUGGACUCACUCAGCCAAUACAACCCUGAAGCUCAUUGUUCUUGAAAGGUUCGAAACCCAUUAGAUUCCUCGUGUAUUUACUUCUCUGGGGCAUUGACAAAAGUUUGGUUACUACUGAGGUGACACUUUAACACUAUCCAGUGGCAGUAGGCCUAGUAGACUUGUAAACGUUGGCGAGGCGAGGCGCGGCAUGUUAAAUAAUAAUCCACCCUUUCUAAUCGUAGGUUGGAAGACUCGGUGGCCUUGUUACAGAAUCACUUUCGCUGAAACGGGAGAAGUUAUAGUUGGAUUAAGACAGCCAACUGCAACCGGCUUGGGGUGGAGUCAGUUCAGAGCAAAUUCAUCCAGAAACCUAUUAACUACAGCAACAGUUGAAGGCAAUCAACAUCUUCCUCAUCAUGGUGGUUUCUUUGGGAAAAUAUGUUGAGGAAGGCAAUGGGCUAAACCUGGGGGUGGGGGGGGUGCAUGCAAGGGUGCAUGCAAGGGUGCAUGCAAGGGUGCAUGAGGCUUUCAACCAGUCCUGUAAAAAUGUGCUGUGAAACUACAAAGUGGCUUCCUGUGCUGUUUUUUUUUAUAAAUAUAUAAAUUAAACAUGCUUUAUUCUCAAAACUACCUGUACAGACAAAGCCCAGAGCAGCUUUGCUUCUUCAUUUGCACUAUUUGUACCUUUUAAUCAACAUUUCCAAAUCAAACACCGCGCGGCUGGGUUAAACUGUGAUAUAAUAUCUUACAUACUCUACCUUUUCGAAAAGGGAAAAAAAAAAAAAAAAAACUCCCAAUAUAUACAACUUUUUAUACCAUCAA
Long non-coding RNA from Amblyraja radiata (thorny skate), 946 nucleotides. RefSeq lists it as uncharacterized. NCBI's taxonomy places the organism in Eukaryota, Metazoa, Chordata, Chondrichthyes, Rajiformes, Rajidae. The record is from RefSeq and is a predicted model, not a curated record. The transcript is spliced from 2 exons.